Molecule: ribosomal RNA, 385 nt
Filed under: uncultured bacterium
Lineage: Bacteria
Description: bacterial SSU rRNA
Rfam family: Bacterial small subunit ribosomal RNA
Source: RNAcentral
AUUGAACGCUGGCGGCAUGCUUUACACAUGCAAGUCGAACGGUAACAGGCCUUCGGGUGCUGACGAGUGGCGAACGGGUGAGUAAUGCAUCGGAACGUGCCCAAUCGUGGGGGAUAACGUAGCGAAAGUUACGCUAAUACCGCAUAAGCCCUGAGGGGGAAAGUGGGGGACCGCAAAGGCCUCACGCGAAUGGAGCGGCCGAUGUCAGAUUAGCUAGUUGGUGGGGUAAAGGCCCACCAAGGCGACGAUCUGUAGCGGGUCUGAGAGGAUGAUCCGCCACACUGGGACUGAGACACGGCCCAGACUCCUACGGGAGGCAGCAGUGGGGAAUUUUGGACAAUGGGCGCAAGCCUGAUCCAGCCAUGCCGCGUGCGGGACGAAGGCC